RNAcentral lists this ribosomal RNA (415 nucleotides) under Tepidimicrobium sp. J18C025. Its description in RNAcentral is "bacterial SSU rRNA". It matches the Rfam family "Bacterial small subunit ribosomal RNA", at positions 95 to 526 of the family's 1533-position model. Lineage: Bacteria; Bacillati; Bacillota; Tissierellia; Tissierellales; Tepidimicrobiaceae. The record is from RNAcentral.
GCGGCGGACGGGUGAGUAAUACGUGAGGAACCUACCUUCCACAAGGGGAUAGCCUCGGGAAACCGGGAUUAAUACCCUAUGACACUUAAGAGUCGCAUGACUCUUAGGUUAAAGCGAUUUAGCGGUGGGAGAUGGCCUCACGUCCCAUUAGCUAGUUGGUGAGGUAACGGCUCACCAAGGCGACGAUGGGUAGCCGGCCUGAGAGGGUGACCGGCCACACUGGGACUGAGACACGGCCCAGACUCCUACGGGAGGCAGCAGUGGGGAAUAUUGCACAAUGGGCGAAAGCCUGAUGCAGCGACGCCGCGUGAGCGAAGAAGGCCUUCGGGUCGUAAAGCUCUGUCCUAUGGGAAGAUAAUGACGGUACCAUAGGAGGAAGCCCCGGCUAACUACGUGCCAGCAGCCGCGGUAAUAC